UACGUAGGGACCGAGCGUUGUCCGGAAUCAUUGGGCGUAAAGAGCGUGUAGGCGGCUCGCUAAGUCUUGCGUGAAAUCUCGGGGCUCAACCCCGAGCGGUCGUGAGAAACUGGCGGGCUAGAGUGCGGGAGAGGAGAGUGGAAUUCCUGGUGUAGCGGUGAAAUGCGUAGAUAUUGGGAGGAACACCAGUGGCGAAGGCGGCUCACUGGACCGGAACUGACGCUGAGGCGCGAAAGCGUGGGGAGCAAACGGG
This 253-nucleotide ribosomal RNA is filed under the name uncultured bacterium. RNAcentral describes it as "partial 16S ribosomal RNA". It matches the Rfam family "Bacterial small subunit ribosomal RNA", at positions 524 to 776 of the family's 1533-position model. The record is from RNAcentral.